RNAcentral lists this ribosomal RNA (496 nucleotides) under uncultured bacterium. Its description in RNAcentral is "partial 16S ribosomal RNA". It matches the Rfam family "Bacterial small subunit ribosomal RNA", at positions 29 to 507 of the family's 1533-position model. The record is from RNAcentral.
AUGCACGCUGGCGGCGUGCCUAAUACAUGCAAGUCGCGCGAACAGACGAGGAGCUUGCUCCUCUGAUGUUAGCGGCGGACGGGUGAGUAACACGUGGAUAACCUACCUAUAAGACUGGGAUAACUUCGGGAAACCGGAGCUAAUACCGGAUAACAUGUUGAACCGCAUGGUUCAACAGUGAAAGACGGUCUUGCUGUCACUUAUAGAUGGAUCCGCGCCGCAUUAGCUAGUUGGUAAGGUAACGGCUUACCAAGGCAACGAUGCGUAGCCGACCUGAGAGGGUGAUCGGCCACACUGGAACUGAGACACGGUCCAGACUCCUACGGGAGGCAGCAGUAGGGAAUCUUCCGCAAUGGGCGAAAGCCUGACGGAGCAACGCCGCGUGAGUGAAGAAGGUCUUCGGAUCGUAAAACUCUGUUAUUAGGGAAGAACAAAUGUGUAAGUAACUAUGCACGUCUUGACGGUACCUAAUCAGAAAGCCACGGCUAACUACGUG